GGGCCUAUAACUCAGUUGGUUAGAGUAGUGGACUCAUAAUCCAUUUGUCCCAGGUUCGAGUCCUGGUGGGCCCACCA
Molecule: transfer RNA, 77 nt
Filed under: Pseudomonadales bacterium
Lineage: Bacteria; Pseudomonadati; Pseudomonadota; Gammaproteobacteria; Pseudomonadales
Also listed under: 3 other names
Description: tRNA-Ile
Rfam family: tRNA
About the family: Transfer RNA (tRNA) molecules are approximately 80 nucleotides in length. Their secondary structure includes four short double-helical elements and three loops (D, anti-codon, and T loops).
Source: RNAcentral